This 2416-nucleotide long non-coding RNA is filed under the name Homo sapiens (human). RNAcentral's name for it is "HSALNT0394970". The record is from RNAcentral. Lineage: Eukaryota; Metazoa; Chordata; Mammalia; Primates; Hominidae.
GUACCCCCGGAAACACGUCCUGUGGGACGGUGAGUUCCGCAACGCCUGCGCUCACCAGGAGUAGGAGUCAUUACGUGAGCCCUUCGCGGCCCCAGCGUCGCCAGGAGAGCUUCCAGCCUCUCUAGAAUCACUACUGCGCACUUCCUGGACAGCAGUCUCCGUCGCAAGAAGCGGAGGGAAAAAAAAAAGCAACAAGCAGGGAUAGAACCAGCGUUGGCCGCCGCGCACGUCGGGAGUUGUAGUUCUGGCUAGGCCGUGCGUCCUGCACCGAUCUCCGGGCCCGCCGCGGCGCCCGCUGGCCUGGGGUUCCGGCUUACAGCGCGGGAAUUCGGGAACCCAGCGCGGGCUGCAGAGGCCCCAGCAGGAGCCCCGCCUCCCGGCUCGUCGACGGAUUCGUUCUUGGCCCUGCCAAUCUGAUUCUCAGCUCCCAGAACUUCACGAUUUAGAAUGUAGACUUUUGCUUUGUGACAGUUCUCCCCAUCCCCGACUACUAAAUGACGAACCCUCUUUAACUGUGAAAUGUACCUGCAAAGUCAAGCAGUGUCUUUGGAUACCCAAGUUCAGAUAUGAACAAGCAAGCUACAAAAGCGGGGUGGGCGGGUAUGAGUGAGCAGAAGAGAGAAACCGGGCUGCAAAAAAGGAAAAUAAAGGCGGGACGUGGGGGUAUGAUUUGCUGAAUGGUACCAAAGUUGAUUUUUUGCACCGUGCACAGUGAUCGAGCUGAGCAAAUUAUUUUUUUUUUAAUUAUAAGCAGCGAGUGCCUUGCUGCCUCCUCAUGUGUGUCAAUAGGAGAGUGAUGAUAUUUGAGUUGGAUCUUAAAGAGCAGAAUUUCCUCAAAAUGUAGAGGAGGAGAAGAUUGUGGUCCAGACUUCCAUCUUCCCAUAUAAUGACUCCAGAAGAAAAAGAAAGCUUCUCUCUGAGCAUCCAGAUAUAAAAUCUAUGAUAAGAACCCUAAUCAGGAUUACCAGUAGGAGAUUACCUGAUCCUAGGUUAUUUGUUCACACUCUCUGAACAGCAGGGCAGGAUAUUAUAAUUAUUAAAAUUAGAGUUACAGAAAGUGGGGCAGAAGACUUCCACUUAAAAAGGUAUGUUAUUCACAGAAAAUGAGGGAAAAGAAUCUUGCACAGAGGGAAGAAAAAAAAUGAUAUCUCUAUACUCACUAAGCCUCAGCUUCCACAAGUAAAAAUUAAGAUUAAUAAUAAUACCUACUAAUAGGACUGCCUGGGGGCCAAAGAAGAUGAUUUAGAGAAAGGAUUUGUUCCAAGACCUCCCAUAAUAAGUAGUUACUACAAAUAAUAGCUCUGUUUUAACACCUGUCAAACUUGGAGGUACCUCCCUUUCCAGGAAUCGAAUGCAAUGUCAAACCAUGUUCAAGUACUGUCUGUGAGUGUAACUGCAAGGUAGACGCUGCCUUCAUCAAAGGGAUCUUAUGCCCCAGAAACAACUUUGCUACGUAAGUGAUGGAGGCUUGCAGAGUGGAGGUGCCCACAACCUUACUGCAUUUAUUUGUGCAGCCAUAUCGAAAACAUUUCCAGCAACAGAAAAAGGGGGAAGGAAGCACUCUGAUACUUUUUUUCUUAUUCUUCGGAGGGGACACAUUAUUGGCCCAAGAGGGAAAUCCUUUUACAACCUACUUUUACAUUAACUGGGAUCAUAAUUUAUUUAUGAAAACAUCAUAUAAAAAGAGCAAGCAAGCAGGAUUCCUAAACAAAGGGGGCUCAAACCAAUAUAUGUGUAGAAGUUAUUCAUUGUCCCCAGGGCAGGCAUACGUUUUCGUGUGUCUUUCAGGAAAGUCACUGGCACCCCAGCCUUCCUUCUUUCAGAAUAAAGGUCAUGAUUUAUUAAUAAUUCUGAUCUCUAGGAAGGAAAAAUGACCCCAGGUUUCAUCCCUCACUUACGAAUUUUCCUAAUCAUGCCCCAUAACUUUGUCCUAUGAAUUCACAUAUUUAAUUUUGAAGGGCAUCAUCAAAUUCUAAUUUAUUCUCUCAAUACCAAAAUAGAAAGUUAAUACAUAUUUUAUGCCAUUUUAAAGUGGAAGGAUUGAAACAAGGUGUAUUCACUUUCCAUUUCAAUUAGAGCAACGUGAUUUGAGCCCUGCUUUCUUUUCACAAUUUAAUAAAUAGUUGUCUUAAUUAUGAAAGGACAGACGCAGAUAAAGUUGUCUACUUUCACCACAUCCAUUCAGCACUGUACUGGAAGUGUUAUCCAGGGUAACUAAACAAGAAAAAGAAAUAAAAGGCAUCCAGAUUAGAAAAAAAAGAAAAUUUAUAUAUGUAAUUGACAUCACCUUAUAUAUAGAAAAUCCUGACUGGGCGUGGUGGCUCAUGCCUAUAAUCCCAGCACUUUGGGAGGCCAAGGCGGGUGGAUCACCUGAGCUCAGGAGUUUAAGACCAGCCUGGGCAACAUGGUGAAACCC